Long non-coding RNA from Brassica rapa (field mustard), 8148 nucleotides. RefSeq lists it as uncharacterized. NCBI's taxonomy places the organism in Eukaryota, Viridiplantae, Streptophyta, Magnoliopsida, Brassicales, Brassicaceae. The record is from RefSeq and is a predicted model, not a curated record.
AAAGCUUCGUUCAAUUAAUCACAUAAUUCAAUUUCCAUACACAUAUGAAGUAUAUUGAGUCAAAUGUUAGAGUAUACGUACGUAUUCACAAUUUUACCUAUAUAUUCAACUGGAAUACACAUGACUUCUAAACCUAAAGAAACAAAAGAGAUAUAUAUAUAUAUAUAUAUAUAUAUAUAUAUGGGAGCAUGGGGAAUUUGGUGAUCCUGACUGUAAACCUAAGUCUGCUUGCCUUUACCGUGCUAGCAUCCAUGUGUCCGGUCCAAGAAUGCAAAAAUCCACCUGAAAAAGUGAUGUUUUCUGACUAUGCGAACGCAUAUUUACUCAUGAUUGCGUCUAUGUGUAUAUGUAGGUGUAUGGGGAAAUUGACAAAGUUUAUAAUUAUUAAAUACAAGUUGCUUGUGGUUGCAGAACUAGAAGGGAACAAAGGAAAAUGAAGGUCUAAUCAAACUUGUCAUUGUGUAAAUUAUUUUCUAAAAUAAAAUAAGACUGAUAUAUCAAAAGCCUAUAACCAAAUGCUUUCAAAAUUUUAGGCAAAAAGAUAACAAGACGAACAAACAUUACAUCUAUCUAUAUAUAUAUAUAUAAAAAUGUUUGCCUCCCUCCUGUUGUGACACGUCAGCGUCAGGUCACAAAGUCGGAAGCUACCGUGCUGACACGUGUCCCCUUAAGACGGUACGCUGCGUUUCAUUAAUAGGACUAUGCACUUCGGUUGGGCUAUUCUUCUUUCACGGCUUCAUGUAUUUCUUUUUUCUGGACUUUAUUUUUAAUUCAAACUCCUGUGCAAUUUGGUUGGACUUUUGACGUAUUGGGCCUUUAGUUAUUUUCGCACAGAAUGAAGCCGCUUUCUGAUUAGGGUUGUUAACCCCGUGUUCUUAUUCUUUGCAAGAUAUCGUUUUCAAAAUUACUAAUCAUAAUAUUUUCAGAACCUCGACUCUCUCUUCUCUUCAAGUUUUCCAUUUUCUACUUUUAUGAAAAACAUCAUAUUAACGCUAAAACAUUAGUUAAAUUUAUGGUUUUAUAUACAGAGUCCCUGACAAAUAUUUACUAUGUUUCAGAGGUUUAAGAUAUCCAUAGAAUAUAUUAUACUACCAUAUGCAUAUAGCAAAGAAAAUUUUAAAAAAUCAAAUAAAUCAAGACAACUAAUGCGAAUCACAGCCUGAUAAAAUAAAAACCAACCAGUAAAAAAGUAGUCUAAAAUCAUUACAAACACAUAAAUAUAAUAGUAAUAGUUUUAAAAAAAAUAAAGAAAUUGUCAAUCCAUAUUAUUAAAUAACAAAAAUUCGUUCACAUAGUUCCAUGGGAAACGAAAUUGGCUUAAACUGAAUUAAAAAAAAACUCUAGGAAUUUUUUACCAAAAUUAUUCAUGUCGAUCAUAUAAAAAUAAAUUGUAUAAAAUAUAUUAUUAUUAACAUAAUAAAAUAUACCACUAUAUUAUACUCCCUUUGUUCCUUAUAGAUCCAUUUUUAGAAGAAAAAAUUUUGUUUUAAAAAGAUACAUUUUUUACAUUUUCAAAACAUUAAUUAACGAAAAAUUGUACUUUUCAAAAAAUACAAUUAUGUUUAAUAAAAUCUCAUUGGUUAAAAGUUAUUGGGAAUAGUUGAUUAAGAAAAACAAUGUAUUGAAAAAUACAAUUUUAAAUGUUUUCUUAAGAAAUGUGAAAAAACUAUAACAUGAAUCUUUUAAGAACGGAAGGAGUACUAAAUCAGUGUUUUUGGCUCAUUUGGUUUGAUCGGUUUCAUACACCAAACCGUAUACAUUUACCGUGAUCUCUUCAAUAGAACAUUUACCUUCAGAACCAAACAAUAAUAUUUGUUUUAAAAAUGUCCUAAUUAUUUUGGAUGUUGAUAUGGUUUAUUUGAUAAUUUUAAAAAUAUGUAAAUCUUUAAACAGUAAUCUGUUAUGUUUUAAGUUGAUAAAAACGAUAGAUUAAAUUUAUUUUUCAUAAUUUAAAACAAUAGAUUUAAAAGAGAUUGUAAAAUAUAAAAUAUAUAUUAACAAUAUACAACCGAAAAAACUUAUUUGUUGAAUAUCAACCACAAUUCUGAAUACUAUUAGUAUUAAAAAUCUAAAAUAUUGACAUAAUAAAAAUGAUUUUUUGUUAGUUAGAUAAACAUAUGAUUUUUAAUAAAAAUAACAAAACUAAAUAAUAAAAAUAUUUUAAAAUUACUUUCAAACUGAGAAUAAAUUAAAUAUUAGUUUCUUUUAACUUCCCGCCCGUAGGGCGGACCUACCCUAGUAUGCCAUAUAACAUUGUUUUAUUUUACUUCUUUUUGAUUAAAAGCGCAGGAAUUUUGAAUUUAUAAAAGUUAUAGAUGUUCGUUAGAAAUGCGGAGUUUUAAAACAAAAUUCUUAUAGAGUUUAAAUAAAAGCGCGGGAAUUUGAAACCAUAAAAUUUAGACAUUUUAAUUAAAAAUGGCAAAGUGUAUAAAAGGCAUAUUUAUUUUCUCUUCUUUACAUUAAACCGUUAUUUUUUGUAACUAAAAACAACUUUACCGGUAAAACAAAAAUACUGCAUGAUGAAUGGAUUGUCUGUUUCUGCAUCUUUUGAUCUGCGAAAAUAUCAUGGUUUUCUUACUACAUGUUAAUUAUUUUGAGAUUGUUUGUUUGUAUUUGAGUUUUGAUUUCAUGCGUAACAGAAGAUAGAAUGGGAGCUUGCGAUCUUCUUUUUUUUUUGGUGAAAAAUGUUAAGAAAACAAAUAAAAAAAUGAGAGAGACAUGGAGCAUAUGGAAUUCAGUGAUCAUGACAAUGAUACUUAUGGUGGUGAUGGUUUUAAGACUGCUAACCGUUACAAUGGUAGCAUCCAUGUAUCUGGGAGCUUGCGGUCUUCUUCGUGAAUCAUUGCAUAUGUUCUUCCCAUGUCUCUUCAGAAUCUGAAAAACUUUGGAUCCGCCAGUGUUUCUCCCAAGUGCAGAUACACAUCUUUGAAUUGGUCUUAUACGUUUUUGUUUUGUAAAUGAAGGUGAAAGUGUUAGAAAUAUUACAUGUAUGAAAGUAUAUGAAUGAAUAUUUCUUACCAUGAUGUAGUCUUAUGUUAAUCUAUUUGUUAUUGAGAUUGUUAAACCCUAAUGACAUUUGGUAACCAAUAAAAUUGGUAAAUAAAGGAGUUUAUUUCCUAAUGUUUUAACUAAAGCAUAAGUGGCAAAUGUUCUAGAAGAGAAGAGUGACUUGAAGGAAAAGUCUAAUGGAAGAUGCUUAAGAGAACAAGUUCAAUGUAUGAACCUAAUGUUCUAGAACAAUUCACACUUGUCUUCUCCUAAUGAAAUGAGUCACCUUAAGUAAAACAUUUGUCACUUACUCAACUUUGAUGGAUGGUUGAGAUUAAAGGAUAAAACUUGCCAAAGGAGAAAGAAAGUCUUGGUGAGAAAGUAAUCAAAACUUGAUGAGGAAGCUAUGUCCCUCUCUCCACCUAUAAAUAUAUGUUUUUACUCCAUCCUAAAGCAUCAUGAAGAAAAUCUAAAGAGAAACACAUAAAGAAAGAUUGUAGGCAAGGGGAUAGAAGAUCUAACUCCAACUUAAAGAUCAAAAGAUCAUCUUAUGGAGAGAAGCCCAAAAAAAUGAGAGGGACAUGGAGAGCAUAUGGAAUUCGGUGAUCAUGACAAUGAUACCAUUGGUGAUGGUUUUAAGACUGCUAACCGUUACAAUGGUAGCAUCCAUGUAUCUGGAACUGGCAAAGAAGACAACUAUCUACUUAAAACCUUCAAACUGAUGCUCUCUAACUAUGUGUAUACCAACAUUUACUCUUGAUUGGGUCUUGUAUAUUUAUGUUUAUGGCUCUGUAAAUAGGGAAAUUGAUAAAGUUUGUAAUUUUUAAAUACAAAUUGCUUGGGGUUACUGAGCCAGAGGGAUUAAAGACAAUGAAGAUGUAUCAAGGCCUCUUAUCAUGUAAACUCUUUUCUAGAAAAAUAAAAUAAGAUCAAAAGCCUAUAGCCAAAUGCUUACCAAAGUUUACGCAAAAAGAUAAUCAGAUAAACAAAUAUUAUAUAUGCCACAUAUCAUUGUCUUAUUUUACUUGUUUUUGGUUAAAAACACAGGAAUUAUGAAGUUAUAAAAGUUAUAAAUGCUAACUAGAAAUGCGAGAAUUUUGAAACCAUAAAAUUUAUAGAGUUAAAAAAGAAUGUGAAAAAAUUGAAACCAUAAAAUUUAUAGUUUAAAUAAACGGGAUAAUUUUUGAAAUUAUAAACUUUAUACAUUUUAAUUAAAUAUGACACAGUGUCGAAGCUAUAAAAGUUAUAUUUUUUUCCUUCUUAAAAAUUAAACAAUUAUUUCACUAAAUGAAAACUACUCUUUAUUUAUUUCUUGUUGUUAGAACUAUUUACUAAAUCCAUAUAUGUAACUACAUUUUUCUAAUUUCUUUUACAGCUACCCUUAAAUGAUUAUUUUUAUUGUUAAAAUGUAUAAAAUAAAAAAAAGAAAAAAACAUAGGAAAAAUAAAUAUAAAAAUAUUUUUUUUUUAAUUUUGAAUAUGAAAUUACCCAGAAAUAUCUUUACAACUUGCAUAGUUUUCUUUAUUCAACUAAUUACACAUAAUUCUGUUUCCAUAAAGAUAUAAUUAUAUUGAGUCAACUGUGAUAAAUGGACAGACAAAUGAGUUUCCAUAAACAAUAUACAUAUUUACAAUUUCACCUAUAUAACUUCUAUUGUAAUACACACAACUUCCAAAAAACCCAAAGAAAAGAGAGAAAGAGACAUGGAGAGCAUAUGGAGUUUGGUGAUCAUGAUGAUGAUAAUUAUGGUGAUGGUGGUUUUAACACUAGUGCUUACCAUUACAAUGGAUGUAUCCAUGUAUCUGGAACUGGGCAAAGAAAGCAAAUAUCUAAUUGAAACCUUCAAAGUGACGUUCUCUAACUAUGUGUACCCACAUCUACUCUUGAUUGGGUCUAUGUGUAUAUUUAUGUUUAUGGCUCUGUAUAUAGGGAAAUUGAUAAAGUUUGUAAUUUUUAAAUACAAAUUGCUUGGGGUUACGGAGGAGCCGGAGGGAUUAAAGGCAAAUGAAGGUGUAUCAGAGCCUCUCCUCAUGUAAUCCUUUUCUAGAAAAAAAAUAAAAAAAAAUAAAACUGAUAUAUCAAAAGUCUAUAACAAAAUGCUUUCAAAAUUUUAUGGAGAAAGAUAAUCAGAUGAACAAACAUUAUCUGCCAUACAUCAUUGUUUUAUUUUACUUUUUUUCGGUUAAAACACGGAAAUUUUGAAGUUAUGAAAGUUAUAAAUAUUGGUUAGAAACACAUGAAUUUGUAAACCAUAAGAUUUAUAAAAUUUAAAUAAAACACGGGAAAUUUUGAAACCAUAAGAUUUAUAGAGCUUAAAUAAAACGCGGGAAAUUUUGAAACCAUAAAAUUUAUAUAUUUUAUGUACAAAUGACAAAGUGUCUAAGCUAUAAAAGUACAUUUUUUCUUUCAAAUUAAACAACUAUUUCAAAUAAUAAAAAACAAUUUAACCGAUAGAAAAUAAUAUUGCAUGAAACAAUUUUACAGGUGUAUUGAGCUAAUUCACCCUUAUUAUAAAGCGCUUAUGAAAAAUAUGAGUUUUACAUAUAUUACAAACCAACAAAUAAAACCUCCUGAAAGAUCUUACUAGGACGUGGCAUGAGAGAGUAUCAACAAGGUUCUUUUUGGUGAACAAAUCUGCAAAAGUAUCAUGGGGUUUCUUGCUACAUUUAAUUUAUUUUGAGGAAGGGAUCUACUCUAUUAAUUUAGAGUCCUAAAUUUUAUCUACUUAAAAAUGUUGUCACUUAAAUUUGAAAUGGUCCAACAAAACAUGUAACAGUAUUUAGAACAUCAAUACUAUUAUAAUAAGAUAAUCCCUAUUUAUUAGUCUUACUUCAUUGUAAUAUAUUAAUAAAUUGCUACAGAUUUUUCUAACAAAAUUUUAUCCUCCACUGAAAGUAUUUUCGUCCAACUUAAUUUGGUUAUGUUACAUACUUACGAGAUCCACUAAUAUUAAUGGACAAAAUAUGUUUGUCAUAUACAAAAACAUAAUCUUAUAGACUCCAUUUGAUGUUUAUAGAUUACAAUUAUUGCUCCAUCAUUAUAAUAUAAGUUCUAAUUCCUAUUACAAUAACAUGAGAUCUGAGACAUGAAAAAUAUAUCAUCUUCAAAUAUUAUUUCUACACAUCAUGGAAAAAAAACUAUUGUUUCAAUGAGGGUUUCAAAAAUCAUGUAUAGGAAAAUGUGUUUUCUUGCAGACAUUUUUUUAACAACAAACGACUGUUCAAUUAUUCAAACUAGUGAUGGUCUGUAUAACUAAACUGGAAUACAACAACUAAUGUAAAACAAUUCUCUAUAAAAAGACUGUGCAGAUCAAGCUAAAUAACCGACAAUUCCAUUGCGAGCUCUUGGGAUAUAAGAAUCUUGAAAUCCCGGAAGCAAAUCUGGAGAGUCUUGGUGGCAUUUUAGAAGCUUAAUUUUCUCUAUUAAAAGAGAAUUACAAUUUCUAUCUACCAAUUACAUAUAUUUUAUUAUUUAUAUUAAUCUAUUAAAUAUAAAGCAUUUCUGAAAGUCUUAAUAAUUAUAAAGAUAUUAAUAACCAAUCAAUUUUAACUGUAAAUGUAAACUGUUCUAUUAGUUAUAACAAAACCUUUUGAGACAAAUCUCACACAAUGUUACUAAAAUUUUUAAGUAUAUUUUCUAAAAUUAAUGCACAUUGAUUAAUUUUUUAAUUAGUAAUAUAAUAAUAUUAUAAAUUAAUGUUAAAUAAAAUUAUGCUGUUUUAUUAAAAAAAAUAUAACUACACUCUAUAUUAUAUUAAAAUAGAAGUAAACUAUAAUUGCAAGGCAUCAUCAACACAGUCGGAAAUCUAUUGAUCAACUACGAAGACUCAUAGACAAGGCAGUAAGAAAUCGAAUCAGUUCACUCAGAUAUAAACCAGACCACAAACUGGAGGGAUUACUAAGAAGAUGGUUCCAAGUCACACUUUAGUGUCUGUUCAGCAUUGAUGCUAUUCUUUUUUACAGCAUUGAGCAUUUGUAAAUAACAUUCUUUUCUAUAGAUCAAUAAAUUUGAAAUUUCAUCAAAACAAAAUUAAGAAUUAGAUAUGAAAAUUGUAUUAAAUUGGUAAAUUACCAUAUUUUUAAAAAUCACUUUCAUUUAAUUAAAUAAAAAUAUCAUUUACCAAUUAAAGGAUUAAAAUUUAUAAAUUAAGUAAUAUUUUAUACAAAACAAUUGUUUAACAUAUGUUAAACUUUUAUAUCUACAACUAUAUAUUAUCUAAUUAAUUUUGAAAAUAAAAAAAAUAUAUUAUCUAAAAGUAAUUAUAUACAAAAUAUAAUAUUAUGUAACUAACCUUUAAUUUAAGUGUUAUUUACAAAAUAUGCUAUUUGAUAACUUUGAAAUUUUAAUAAUUCAUUAAAGAUAAUAAUGAUUAAUCAAUUUUAACUUAAAAUUAAAAUUUUAAUAUAUAUUAUAAAAUAUGUAGAGAAAAAUAUAAAAAUCCUUAUCAAUAAUUUCUGAUUUUUAAUAAUAUAAUUCAUUACUUUACUAACAAAAAAAAUCAAAAGUCAUAUAAUUUCCAAGCUCAAAAAAGUUAUGUAUUAAUUUUCAAAUUUCUCUUGACCAAAUAUAAAAUUUUGAAAAUAAAAAUAUCAAACUCAAAUAAUAAUAUUCAAAAUUUUACAAAAUAUAAAAUAAUAGAUGAUAAAGUAUAUAUUUUUUAAUUGCAGCACGAUAAAAAUAAUGUUGUAAAAAUUAUAGUGGCAUAAUAUUUUAAAACUGACGUUAAUAACAAAAACAAUUAAUAGCAUAACAUUCAAAAUAUCAUAUAUUGGUAAAAUACACUAAAAUAAUGUGAAAGAUGAUCUAUACAUAAAAUCUAAUAAAAUAAUAUGGUUAAAUUACUUAAACUGAAAAUUGUAUUUACUUAUAAAUCAUACAAUGUACUAAAAUAAUAGAUGCUAAAGUAUAUUUUUAAAUACAACAUGGAAUAAAUUAUUCUAAACAAAUAUCAGUUAUAUAGUGUAGCUAAAUAAACUUUCAAAUUUUAUUCAAACUGUAGAAAUUUUAAAAAAAUAUUCUCAAAGAGAUUUUCUAUUCUGUUAUUUCAUAUUAUGAAUUUAUUGUACCGAACUCAAAAAUAUAUUAGUAUGUAAUAAAAAUUAAUAACAAAGUAAAAUGUAUAAAACAAAUCAUUAUAUAUUAAUAAUGUCAAAUAAGAAA